Long non-coding RNA from Rhinolophus ferrumequinum (greater horseshoe bat), 400 nucleotides. RefSeq lists it as uncharacterized. The transcript is spliced from 3 exons. NCBI's taxonomy places the organism in Eukaryota, Metazoa, Chordata, Mammalia, Chiroptera, Rhinolophidae. The record is from RefSeq and is a predicted model, not a curated record.
CACGGCGGACAUCUUGUCGGGUUUUGGUAGGACGGUGGGAGGAGAGGCAUACGAGCUCUGGUUUGGUUGUGAGGUGACGGGAGCGGGACAGGGCAGGAGAAGUCUCCUCUCCACUGCAAAGAGAUUCGGCGGUGGCAGCGCUGGAAAAGAUCUGAGUCUGGACCUGGGAUCCUCAGGCUCCGCAGGGUCCAGACCUUGAUGGCGGCGGCCACGGGGGUGGGCCCGGUGUAGCUCCUCUGUGGUUGCUGAAUUAUAACAGAGCAAGGAACUCUGAGUGCCUGACUGAGGUCAUGACUCCAGCCACAGCAAGAGUGUCUUGGACAGGCCCUGGCUGUUGGCGUGGAGCAGAGGAUGAAGAGGCACCUUUUGAGCAGAGCGUUUCUAUAGAAGUUCAUACUUC